AUUGAACGCUGGCGGCAGGCCUAACACAUGCAAGUCGAGCGGAUGAAGGUAGCUUGCUACCUGAUUCAGCGGCGGACGGGUGAGUAAUGCCUAGGAAUCUGCCUGGUAGUGGGGGACAACGUUUCGAAAGGAACGCUAAUACCGCAUACGUCCUACGGGAGAAAGUGGGGGAUCUUCGGACCUCACGCUAUCAGAUGAGCCUAGGUACGAUUAGCUAGUUGGUGAGGUAAAGGCUCACCAAGGGGACUAUCGUUAACUGGUCUGAGAGGAUGAUCAGUCACAAUGGAACUGAGACACGGUCCAGACUCCUACGGGAGGCAGCAGUGGGGAAUAUUGGACAAUGGGCGAAAGCCUGAUCCAGCCAUGCCGCGUGUGUGAAGAAGGUCUUCGGAUUGUAAAGCACUUUAAGUUGGGAGGAAGGGCAGUAAGUUAAUACCUUGCUGUUUUGACGUUACCGACAGAAUAAGCACCGGCUAACUUCGUGCCAGCCGCCGCGGUAA
RNAcentral lists this ribosomal RNA (500 nucleotides) under uncultured bacterium. RNAcentral's name for it is "partial 16S ribosomal RNA". It matches the Rfam family "Bacterial small subunit ribosomal RNA", at positions 30 to 523 of the family's 1533-position model. The record is from RNAcentral.